RNAcentral lists this long non-coding RNA (991 nucleotides) under Trifolium pratense (red clover). Its description in RNAcentral is "long non-coding RNA (TPRA_LNC006436)". The record is from RNAcentral. Lineage: Eukaryota; Viridiplantae; Streptophyta; Magnoliopsida; Fabales; Fabaceae.
AUAAAUGGAAUGAAAAAGGGUUAGUCUGACGUAUGGCUUUCUUCCCCGAAUAAUUCGAGACCCUGACGUAUGGCUCGUGACUUGAAUUAUUCUCAUUCUUAUUUUUUUCUAAACAAUCACGAUUAAGCAAAAUUGACCGGUUGACAAAAGCUUCAGUCCAUGCAUAUGUCUAUUGUUAUAUUAUGUCUGCUUGGCUUGUUUUUUGUUCAUCUUGCUUAAACUUAUCAAAUCAAAUCAUAAUUGGAAUGAAAAAGGGUUAGUCUGACGUAUGGCUUUCUCUCCCCGAAUGAUUCGAGACCCUGACGUAUGGCUCGUGACUUGAAUCAUUCUCNNNNNNNNNNNNNNNNNUAAAUCAAAUAAAAGAACUUAAGCAUAAUUAGAGUGAAAAGGGGUUAGUCUGACGUAUGGCUUUCUUCCCCGGAUAAUUCGAGGCCCUGACGUAUGGCUCGUGACUCGGAUUAUCCUCAUUCUAGGACGUUUUCAUUAAAACUCCUAAAAUCAACACAACACACUCAAACCUUUUUCACUGCCCUCGCGCGCAGUAAAGAGAAAACCCUUUUCACAAAACGGGUGACGUUUUCGUCCAUUCUCCGUAAUACAAACCACGCUUAAGCCUCCGAAGUGCGAGCAUACAAGCAGCGUUUAAUACGAGAAUGCGACUUAGACGUCAUGCGUCUAAAAGCAACCAACCCACAAACAUUUUUACCCUGAACUACGAAACCCUGAUUUUCCCAUUGCACCUGGGAAUACGUAGGAGCGAGAUUCAACAUCUUGUCGGGCAUAAUAAAAAACGAAAACCUUUUCCCCCAUAUUAAAUACCAAGAUAAUAAAAACAAACUUUUUCUAUCGAUGAAGCAAGAAACGAGUAAUCAAGCAAACAUUAAAAAACACAUUAAAGCAAACAAACAUUUCCCUCUAAAAGGUUCCCGUUGAGUACAACGGAUGUGAGGGGUGCUAAUACCUUCCUCUCGCAUAACCAACUCCUGAACCC